Molecule: ribosomal RNA, 355 nt
Filed under: uncultured bacterium
Lineage: Bacteria
Description: bacterial SSU rRNA
Rfam family: Bacterial small subunit ribosomal RNA
Source: RNAcentral
AGAGUUUGAUCCUGGCUCAGGAUGAACGCUAGCUACAGGCUUAACACAUGCAAGUCGAGGGGCAGCAUUUCAGUUUGCUUGCAAACUGGAGAUGGCGACCGGCGCACGGGUGAGUAACACGUAUCCAACCUGCCGAUAACUCGGGGAUAGCCUUUCGAAAGAAAGAUUAAUACCCGAUGGUAUAAUCAGACCGCAUGGUCUUGUUAUUAAAGAAUUUCGGUUAUCGAUGGGGAUGCGUUCCAUUAGGCAGUUGGCGAGGUAACGGCUCACCAAACCUUCGAUGGAUAGGGGUUCUGAGAGGAAGGUCCCCCACAUUGGAACUGAGACACGGUCCAAACUCCUACGAGAGGCAGCA